CCUUGCUCACUCUGAGCUUCUCCUAGCUUUCUCUGUACCUGCAAAACUGGGGUUAAGGAAAAGGAAUGAGCUACAAGAGCCCAGUGAGUAGAAACACUGAAAACAAGUCAUUACUUACAUAUUCUCAUGAAAUGCGUCACAGUACAAACAUAUCACAUCUCGGAUUAGACAUGAUCUCAAAACUCCCUCUGUUGGUGCCCGGCCCUAUGGACUCCCAGGUCACUACAUGGUCUAGCGCCCCGCCCCUCCUAUGGAGUUCCCACAGGUCUUAUCUAGCCAUAAC
This 283-nucleotide long non-coding RNA is filed under the name Manihot esculenta (cassava). RNAcentral's name for it is "long non-coding RNA (MESC_LNC007500)". The record is from RNAcentral. Lineage: Eukaryota; Viridiplantae; Streptophyta; Magnoliopsida; Malpighiales; Euphorbiaceae.